RNAcentral lists this small RNA (107 nucleotides) under Citrobacter sedlakii. RNAcentral describes it as "RtT RNA". It matches the Rfam family "RtT RNA", at positions 22 to 130 of the family's 130-position model. From Rfam's summary of the family: This family represents a bacterial cis-regulatory element known as RtT RNA. The exact function of RtT is unknown although it is thought that it may be involved in changing the cellular response in relation to amino acid starvation. The record is from RNAcentral. Lineage: Bacteria; Pseudomonadati; Pseudomonadota; Gammaproteobacteria; Enterobacterales; Enterobacteriaceae.
AUUCGAACCUGCCGCAGGUUCGGGUCGAACGUAGUGAGACAACGGAGCCGCUUGCGGCGACGGCCCGAAGGGCGAGGCGAAGCCGAGUCAUCCUGCACGACCCACCA